This is a long non-coding RNA of Eucalyptus grandis, 1113 nucleotides long. RefSeq lists it as uncharacterized. The transcript has 5 exons. NCBI's taxonomy places the organism in Eukaryota, Viridiplantae, Streptophyta, Magnoliopsida, Myrtales, Myrtaceae. The record is from RefSeq and is a predicted model, not a curated record.
ACUCUCGUUGAAGAGGGAUCUGAGCUCCUACGGCAUCUAAGAAGGGUUGGUGAUGGUGUCCACAAGGAUUAAGCAAUCAGAUUCCAGAACCAUUUGAUCCAUUUCUCGCCCUUUCUGUAUCAAGAAGUGGAGUGUGAGAUUAAAACCUUUCACCUCUGCUUGCAGCGCCGAAGAGGCAAGGACGGAACGUGUGAAACCGUCGAUCAAGAUGCCGGAGGAAUCUCUACACACAUAGGCCACGGAAGCAUCGGUACAAGGAGACUGGUUCCAUUAGCGCAUUGGCUAGAUCUGGUGUUUGCUAGGGUUGAUUGCGCCACCUGCUUGGGGUUCGGUUGCUGUUGACGGAAUAUUGUAUUAUUCCGAGCUUUCCAGAUAUGCCAGAGGAUAGACAUUGUUGUCUCCAGAUCUAGUUAGUUAAGACAGCCUUAUCAGAGUGACAUUGAGGCUGAUUUGUCAAAGUUUGAACUUGGUUCUUGAGGGAAUUAAUCUGAAGUUUGGCGUUAGUGAAUUUGGAUCGGCUCCAAUGUGAAAGCGCGAUAGAGACAACGCUUAACUUUUGUGGUAGCGUUACUUGUCCAAGUUGGUUGGAAGCCCAAGAAUUAGCAAUUGUGGAGCGACACUCCAUGUCUUGUAACCAGUAGGCUUCAAAGUAGAAGGAUCUUUGCUUUUUAUAUCAUUGUGUUGCUUCGGAUGACAAAAGGAGUGGGCUAUGAUCAGAUCCGAGGGCCGGUAAAGCGAAGACUUCGACAAGAGGCCUUUGUUACCCAGGUCCAUUAAGUAGCAGUCAUUGAGGAGCUCACAAAAAGAAUACAUACGAUGAGCCUCAGUGGGACGCUUCCCAACUUUCUCCCAAAGGUAUAAAACUUCAUUGAAAUCACCUGCGCACGGCCAAGGUGAGACGUGUUGUGAUGCCUAGAUCCAACUCAGUACAUAUAAAGUCGAGCAUUGUCGAAGAGUGAUGAGAAAUGUUCAAAGACACUCGGUUAUUCCAAAAGAUUGCUAACCCUCCUGCCAAUCCAACUGGAUUUUCUAUAAAACUAGAAGAGAAACUGAAUUUCCUUUGUAAGUAGAGGAGCUUCUUUUCAGGAUUUUUUGUUUCCAUCAAAAACAAAA